RNAcentral lists this ribosomal RNA (253 nucleotides) under uncultured bacterium. RNAcentral describes it as "partial 16S ribosomal RNA". It matches the Rfam family "Bacterial small subunit ribosomal RNA", at positions 524 to 776 of the family's 1533-position model. The record is from RNAcentral.
UACGUAGGGUGCAAGCGUUGUCCGGAAUUAUUGGGCGUAAAGAGCUCGUAGGCGGUCUGUCGCGUCGGCUGUGAAAUCCCGAGGCUCAACCUCGGGUCUGCAGUCGAUACGGGCAAACUAGAGUAUUGCAGGGGAGACUGGAAUUCCUGGUGUAGCGGUGAAAUGCGCAGAUAUCAGGAGGAACACCGGUGGCGAAGGCAGGUCUCUGGGCAUUAACUGACGCUGAGGAGCGAAAGCAUGGGGAGCGAACAGG